Molecule: ribosomal RNA, 886 nt
Filed under: Ramulus artemis
Lineage: Eukaryota; Metazoa; Arthropoda; Insecta; Phasmatodea; Phasmatidae
Description: SSU rRNA
Rfam family: Eukaryotic small subunit ribosomal RNA
Source: RNAcentral
GAGCAGCAGCGCNCNAUUACCCACUCCCGGCACGGGAGGUAGUGACGAAAAAUAACGAUACGGGACUCAUCCGAGGCCCCGUAAUCGGAAUGAGAACACUUUAAACCCUUUAACGAGUAUCCAUUGGAGGGCAAGUCUGGUGCCAGCAGCCGCGGUAAUUCCAGCUCCAAUAGCGUAUAUUAAAGUUGUUGCGGUUAAAAAGCUCGUAGUUGGACUUGUGUCCCACGCNGUCGGUUCACCGUUCGUCGGUGUUUAACUGGCAUGCCGUGUGGACGUCCUGCCGGUGGAUGCGGCCGGCCGUGGGCCUCUGGUCUGCGUGUCGGCGGUCCGAUUGAAUCCUACCGCGGUGCUCUUUACCGAGUGUCGAGGUGGGCCGGCACGUUUACUUUGAACAAAUUAGAGUGCUCAAAGCAGGCAGUUGCAAGCCUCAAUACUGUGUGCAUGGAAUAAUGGAAUAGGACCUCGGUUCUAUUUUGUUGGUUUUCGGAACCUGAGGAAAUGAUUAAAAGGAACAAGCGGGGGCAUUCGUAUUGCGACGUUAGAGGUGAAAUUCUUGGAUCGUCGCAAGACGGACAUAAGCGAAAGCAUUUGCCAUGAGUGUUUUCAUUAAUCAAGAACGAAAGUUAGAGGUUCGAAGGCGAUCAGAUACCGCCCUAGUUCUAACCAUAAACGAUGCCAGCCAGCGAUCCGCCGAAGUUCCUCCGAUGACUCGGCGGGUAGCUUCCGGGAAACCAAAGCUUUUGGGUUCCGGGGGAAGUAUGGUUGCAAAGCUGAAACUUAAAGGAAUUGACGGAAGGGCACCNCCAGGAGUGGAGCCUGCGGCUUAAUUUGACUCAACACGGGAAACCUCACCAGGCCCGGACACCGGAAGGAUUGACAGAUUGAG